UUGGAUUACCGCUUAUUUUCCCAGCCAGUGGUACCACCAUAAACCUAUACAGAAAUGUGCAGGCUAACACACUACCUAUAUCAAAUGCUGACAUACUCGCCACUGGGAGGCGAAAAUGGCCAAUUGUUGCAUCCAUAACCUCACCUUGUUCAACAAAUAAAGAGGCCAUUUGUGUAAAUAUAACUGAAUACAUUAUUGUGCAUAGCCAAAUUGGACACAUUCUUAUACUGGGAGCCGAAAAUGGCCAAUUGUUGCAUCCAUAACCUCACCUUGUUCAACAAAUAAAGAGGUCAUUUGUGUAAAUAUAAUAGAAUACAUUAUUGUGCAUAGCCAAAUUGGAAACAUUCUUAUGAUGCAUUUUGCUUCUUCAACUUGUGUUAUUGUGCAUAAUCUCCAAGGGUUAAAUGCUGCUCUUUCUCUAUCUUCUCCUGUCACUAUUG
RNAcentral lists this long non-coding RNA (440 nucleotides) under Nicotiana benthamiana. Its description in RNAcentral is "long non-coding RNA (NBEN_LNC039088)". Lineage: Eukaryota; Viridiplantae; Streptophyta; Magnoliopsida; Solanales; Solanaceae. The record is from RNAcentral.